This 960-nucleotide ribosomal RNA is filed under the name uncultured beta proteobacterium. RNAcentral's name for it is "bacterial SSU rRNA". It matches the Rfam family "Bacterial small subunit ribosomal RNA", at positions 56 to 1011 of the family's 1533-position model. Lineage: Bacteria; Pseudomonadati; Pseudomonadota; Betaproteobacteria. The record is from RNAcentral.
UGCAAGUCGAACGGCAGCACGGGUGCUUGCACCUGGUGGCGAGUGGCGAACGGGUGAGUAAUACAUCGGAACGUACCUUAUCGUGGGGGAUAACGCAGCGAAAGCUGUGCUAAUACCGCAUACGCCCUGAGGGGGAAAGCGGGGGAUCGAAAGACCUCGCGCGAUUAGAGCGGCCGAUGCCUGAUUAGCUUGUUGGUGGGGUAAAAGCCCACCAAGGCGACGAUCAGUAGCUGGUCUGAGAGGACGAUCAGCCACACUGGGACUGAGACACGGCCCAGACUCCUACGGGAGGCAGCAGUGGGGAAUUUUGGACAAUGGGGGAAACCCUGAUCCAGCAAUGCCGCGUGAGUGAAGAAGGCCUUCGGGUUGUAAAGCUCUUUUGUCAGGGAAGAAACACCGGCUCUAACACAGUCCGGGAAUGACGGUACCUGAAGAAUAAGCACCGGCUAACUACGUGCCAGCAGCCGCGGUAAUACGUAGGGUGCGAGCGUUAAUCGGAAUUACUGGGCGUAAAGCGUGCGCAGGCGGUUAUACAAGACAGGCGUGAAAUCCCCGGGCUUAACCUGGGAAUGGCGCCUGUGACUGUAUAGCUAGAGUGUGUCAGAGGGGGGUAGAAUUCCACGUGUAGCAGUGAAAUGCGUAGAUAUGUGGAGGAAUACCAAUGGCGAAGGCAGCCCCCUGGGAUAACACUGACGCUCAUGCACGAAAGCGUGGGGAGCAAACAGGAUUAGAUACCCUGGUAGUCCACGCCCUAAACGAUGCUGACUAGUUGUUCGGGGUUUACAUCCUGAGUAACGUAGCUAACGCGUGAAGUCAGCCGCCUGGGGAGUACGGUCGCAAGAUUAAAACUCAAAGGAAUUGACGGGGACCCGCACAAGCGGUGGAUGAUGUGGAUUAAUUCGAUGCAACGCGAAAAACCUUACCUACCCUUGACAUGUCACUAACGAAGUAGAGAUACAU